This 1761-nucleotide long non-coding RNA is filed under the name Pogona vitticeps (central bearded dragon). Its description in RNAcentral is "lncRNA (ENSPVIG00000016200.1)". The record is from RNAcentral. Lineage: Eukaryota; Metazoa; Chordata; Lepidosauria; Squamata; Agamidae.
AUGACUCUGAAAUCUACCUCUCUGUCUUUUUUUAACCACACUGUUCUCUGGACUGAAACGAGGAGCGUCUGGACCACGGUCGCCCCGGCAGGCUGCUUUCCUGACACAAGCAGUGGGCUGCGGAGUCCACCUGGGUUGUGUUUUGCUCCGCAGGGCAGGAGCCUGGAGCAGGAUCCCGUACCACUAACAGAGCCAGCGGGACAGAGAGAGAGAAGCGGUAGUGGCAGGGAAAAGGAGGGACCCCCUGAAAUCCUUGCACCCGUAAGCGAAGGACCUUCCUUAGCAAGCUCUCCCAGAGGGUUGGAAGAGAAGGGACAACUCAGAUCCCAGCCCCGAAAGGCCAGGCAAGAGUGGUCUUGUGCUCACCCAUGAACCCUGAGGAGGCUGUGGAGUUGGAAGCAUGUCUGCAGAUAUUUUGAGGAGAGUUGUUGGUACUUUUUUGUUUGUUUCAGAUUUGAGAAGGUCAGCACGUAAGCCCAGCAGAUCAGCACUUCCUCUAUAUCUGCCAUCGUCCUUGUUGAACUGGAGGUGAGGCAGAGCCGGCUUCUGUCCCUCUCUGGCAAAAUGGGAAAGUGCCAGCUCAGGAGGCAGAAGGCCCUCGGUGGUCUCUCUUGCUACCUAGAGAGGGUUUGGGCAACCUCCGGACGGCCGUCAGCCUGAGUUCCCUGCCUUAAAGGCAGGCUCAAAGGCCUUCAGCUUACCUAUCAUGCACGCUUGCAAAGGCGCGGGCUCUCGGAGGGGAGCUGAAGCCUUGAGAUCCGGGAAGCCAGCAGCCUUGGGGGGAGCGGGGCAGUAAGUUAGCCUCUGGGAUCAGGAUUGAACCCCCUCCUGUAUGACAGGCCUCUCUGAGGCAGCUGGCAGCCCCCUUGAGCCUCCUCGUCCUCCGGGCAUCGCUUGCAUGACAGCUGCCAGGGAGAGGGGUCUCUUGAAGAAGGCAGGACCCCUUUCCGCACUCUGAAAAAGGAGCGGCCAGCUUGUGGACGGUAGUUUGGUAGGUGGCUCCCCAACGGGGCAUGUGGGGAUUGGCUUAGAGGCAGAGCCCCCGGUCUUCUCAGCUUGGGUUGAAGCUUCCUGCUGGGCUCCGAGGGCCCCCUGCUCCCACCCACCCUGAUGCAUUUUCCGCAUGAGAUCGAAGGAGGGGCCGCCACCACUAUCGGAAAGCUAGUGGGUGGGCCGGAGGGAAGAGCGUGGGCGGGCCGGCCGGCCUCCACCACCACUGAGCCUGCUCAGCAAAGUCCUGUUUCUGGCCCUCUUUAAGCAGGGCGAGCGCUUCCGUCAGUCCCAUCAUUUAUCACAGAUUGUGCACGGAGUGGCUCAAGGACUCCCGGUGGGGGGGGGUACAGCUUCUGCCCCCCUUUGGCUCUCCAACCCUUCCCUUUCCCUUAUUUAACAUCUCCUUUCCCAAUGUAGCUUGGCUGUGUGUUUGUCUUGAAUGUUUGCCCCAGACUUGAAAAAAAAACAAAGAUAGCAAUACUUCACCGACUGUCAGGCGGGAGCAUCCCAUCCACCUCUUGUUGUGAGCCCCAAAGGAAAACUGGAAGUAAAUGGAAAGGCAGGCAGGAGGGGGCAGAGAUCGGAAACCGGUGGGAGCUGCUGGAUUUUCUUUUCGGUGGAUUUACAAGCUGGGCAAGACACCAGAGACAAAGAUCCUAUUGUAAAAAUUACAAAGAGAAUUUGUAUAGAGACCUAUUUUUGUAUUACAUCCAACUAUCCCUGCAUGUCAGCAAUAAAAUUUCAUAAUGUAGAAAGAGUUGUGCCUCG